GGCCUCGUAGCUCAGCUGGUAGAGCGUGCGCGUAGAAAGCGUAGACAGCGUCCAUGCGUGGGUUCCAAUCCCACCAAGGCUA
Molecule: non-coding RNA, 82 nt
Organism: Echinostoma caproni
Lineage: Eukaryota; Metazoa; Platyhelminthes; Trematoda; Plagiorchiida; Echinostomatidae
Source: Rfam